CGAGGCCACGAACCGCAUCGGCGGCAGGAUGCACAAGACCAAAUUCGCCGGUCUCAAUGUCGAGCUCGGGGCAAACUGGGUGGAGGGUGUUAAUGGCAAGGAAGUGAACCCCAUCUGGACCAUCGCCAACCAGCUCCGUCUUCGUAACUUUUACUCCGACUUCACCAACCUCUCAUCCAAUGCUUACAAACAAGAGGGUGGGCUCUAUGAUAGCAAGGUGACGGAACAGGCCAUUGAUGUGUCCGAUAAGGUCUCCAGCGCCGGCGAG
RNAcentral lists this unclassified non-coding RNA (268 nucleotides) under Hevea brasiliensis (rubber tree). The record is from RNAcentral. Lineage: Eukaryota; Viridiplantae; Streptophyta; Magnoliopsida; Malpighiales; Euphorbiaceae.